This 235-nucleotide ribosomal RNA is filed under the name uncultured Pseudomonadales bacterium. Its description in RNAcentral is "partial 16S ribosomal RNA". It matches the Rfam family "Bacterial small subunit ribosomal RNA", at positions 96 to 334 of the family's 1533-position model. The record is from RNAcentral. Lineage: Bacteria; Pseudomonadati; Pseudomonadota; Gammaproteobacteria; Pseudomonadales.
CGGCGGACGGGUGAGUAAUGCUUAGGAAUCUGCCUAUUAGUGGGGGACAACAUCUCGAAAGGGAUGCUAAUACCGCAUACGUCCUACGGGAGAAAGCAGGGGACCUUCGGGCCUUGCGCUAAUAGAUGAGCCCAAGUCGGAUUAGCUAGUUGGUGGGGUAAAGGCCUACCAAGGCGACGAUCUGUAGCGGGUCUGAGAGGAUGAUCCGCCACACUGGGACUGAGACACGGCCCAG